UAAAAAUUACACAAGUUAUUCCUUUUUUAUCCUGUUGAUUCUGGAUAAUUAUUUACAUAUGACAACAUAUUUCUUGAUGCUAAGAGCGUUUCUAUUGAAUCAAUAUAUUUAACAGUUUUCACAUUAUGUGGAUUUCAGCAAAAUCGUUAACCACAAAUCUUUAGAUAAGCUUCUUUUUGUUUGUUUUUACAUCAUACAGUAGCAUCAUAUGUUGCUGUUCAAAUCUUUGUUUAUAUGUGCUUAAUUUGUAUUAUUAAUUUUUUGUUAGCCUUUGUAAUUUUAAACAAGUAUUUAUAAUUACCACUUCAUUUUUAGUGAGUAUACUUUUUCAGGGAAACCACCUACAUAGUUGUUUUAAUAAAGUGUCAUAAGAUAAAGUUUAGGCUUUUGAUUGUUGUAAUAUAUUAUUUAAAGAAAAUUAUGGAACUUUUCUAUGAUCAUUAUGAUCAUGUUAAAAGUUUAAACUUGAAAGGAUAAAGUAUAACUUAACAGCAUAGAGUUAAACUUAAAAAUCCAGUUGCUAAUGUUUCAAUGUUGGAUUUUUUUGAGAGUUCUGAAAAAGACAUCUGCAUAUAAAGAACAGUUGGUUAAGGUUUGUAUUAUCUCCCAGACUGUCAAACUGUAGUAGUUGCAGAACACUUGCUUUGUAAGGGAGUACAAAGCCACCAUUUAUCUGAAAAAAAUGUGCUCAACUUGUUUCUCCAUGUUUAUCAAGACUUGUGUUAAGAAGUUAUAGAAUUGAAAAACACUUGGUGGAUAUAUUAAAAAAUGAAAAUAAGUAUUUUGAAAUUGCAAUAAAUUCAUGCAAAAAACUUUUUUGAAUGUUUUU
Molecule: long non-coding RNA, 829 nt
Organism: Hydra vulgaris (swiftwater hydra)
Lineage: Eukaryota; Metazoa; Cnidaria; Hydrozoa; Anthoathecata; Hydridae
Source: RefSeq, a predicted model, not a curated record